UACGUAGGCAGCAAGCGUUGUUCGGAAUUACUGGGCGUAAAGAGUGUGUAGGCGGUGCUCUAAGUUCGGUGUGAAAUCUCCCGGCUCAACUGGGAGGGUGCGCCGGAAACUGGAAUGCUUGAGCGUGGGAGAGGAAAGCGGAAUUCCUGGUGUAGCGGUGAAAUGCGUAGAUAUUAGGAGGAACACCUGCGGUGUAGACGGCUUUCUGGACCAUUGCUGACGCUGAGACACGAAAGCGUGGGUAGCAAACAGG
Molecule: ribosomal RNA, 253 nt
Filed under: uncultured bacterium
Lineage: Bacteria
Description: partial 16S ribosomal RNA
Rfam family: Bacterial small subunit ribosomal RNA
Source: RNAcentral